AAGAUAGAGUUUGAUCCUGGCUCAGGACGAACGCUGGCGGCGUGCCUAAUACAUGCAAGUCGAGCGGACCGGAUUGGGGCUUGCCUUGAUUCGGUCAGCGGCGGACGGGUGAGUAACACGUGGGCAACCUGCCCGCAAGACCGGGAUAACUCCGGGAAACCGGAGCUAAUACCGGAUAACACCGAAGACCGCAUGGUCUUCGGUUGAAAGGCGGCCUUUGGGCUGUCACUUGCGGAUGGGCCCGCGGCGCAUUAGCUAGUUGGUGAGGUAACGGCUCACCAAGGCGACGAUGCGUAGCCGGCCUGAGAGGGUGACCGGCCACACUGGGACUGAGACACGGCCCAGACUCCUACGGGAGGCAGCAGUAGGGAAUCUUCCGCAAUGGGCGAAAGCCUGACGGAGCGACGCCGCGUGAGCGAAGAAGGCCUUCGGGUCGUAAAGCUCUGUUGUGAGGGACGAAGGAGCGCCGUUUGAAGAAGGCGGCGCGGUGACGGUACCUCACGAGAAAGCCCCGGCUAACUACGUGCCAGCAGCCGCGGUAAUACGUAGGGGGCGAGCGUUGUCCGGAAUUAUUGGGCGUAAAGCGCGCGCAGGCGGUCUCUUAAGUCUGAUGUGAAAGCCCACGGCUCAACCGUGGAGGGUCAUUGGAAACUGGGGGGCUUGAGGGCAGGAGAGGAGAGCGGAAUUCCACGUGUAGCGGUGAAAUGCGUAGAGAUGUGGAGGAACACCAGUGGCGAAGGCGGCUCUCUGGCCUGUACCUGACGCUGAGGCGCGAAAGCGUGGGGAGCAAACAGGAUUAGAUACCCUGGUAGUCCACGCCGUAAACGAUGAGUGCUAAGUGUUAGAAGGUCACACCCUUUAGUGCUGCAGCUAACGCGAUAAGCACUCCGCCUGGGGGAGUAC
Molecule: ribosomal RNA, 903 nt
Filed under: uncultured bacterium
Lineage: Bacteria
Description: bacterial SSU rRNA
Rfam family: Bacterial small subunit ribosomal RNA
Source: RNAcentral